AUGGUAUAAUAAAAUCGGAGGCCACGACUGUUUACUAAAAACACAAUUCAGAGCAAUUAUUAAGAUAAUAGUAUUCUGAAUGAAAUUUGCUCAAUGCCAUUAAUAUAAAAGAGGUAAUUUUAAAGUUACUAAUUGAAAGUCUGGUUAAUAGCGGUCUUAACUAUGAGGAUCCUAAGGUAGCAAAAUAAAUUGGCCAUUAAAUGUGGUCUAGUAUCAAUAAUGUAACGAUGGUCUCACUGUCUCUACAACUUGCUCAGUGAAAUUGAAUUGCGAGUGCAGAUGCUC
RNAcentral lists this ribosomal RNA (285 nucleotides) under Russuloid fungal sp. 1. Its description in RNAcentral is "partial large subunit ribosomal RNA". It matches the Rfam family "Bacterial large subunit ribosomal RNA", at positions 1773 to 2064 of the family's 2925-position model. The record is from RNAcentral. Lineage: Eukaryota; Fungi; Basidiomycota; Agaricomycetes; Russulales; Russulaceae.